AAAAGGAUCACUCUCCUUUUUUAUUUGAUCUCAGGGCUUUUGGCAAAAGAAGGACAAGUUUUUUUGUGUGUGUGGGAAAAAAGGCGUUUUGGAAAGUGCAAACCACUCCAGAAAGAGCCGCCUCCUCUAACUUCAGAACAUGAGCGGAGACCCGGGAUUCUUGAGGGAAGCACCAAUGCCUUCUCAUACCUCAGACCAGAGCUGGAAUGAGGGACAGGAAGAAAAAGCAGAGCGGGACUCUAGUUGGGAAGCAACGUGAACCUAAGAGAUGACAACUUCGUUUCCAGCAUCUGAUUUUGGAUCUUUCAGUCAUUCUCUCCUCUUAUCU
Molecule: long non-coding RNA, 328 nt
Filed under: Mustela putorius furo (domestic ferret)
Lineage: Eukaryota; Metazoa; Chordata; Mammalia; Carnivora; Mustelidae
Description: lncRNA (ENSMPUG00000030774.1)
Source: RNAcentral